CCUACGGGAGGCAGCAGUAGGGAAUCUUCCGCAAUGGACGAAAGUCUGACGGAGCAACGCCGCGUGAGUGAAGAAGGUUUUCGGAUCGUAAAACUCUGUUGUUAAAGAAGAACAAGGAUGAGAGUAACUGCUCAUCCCCUGACGGUAUUUAACCAGAAAGCCACGGCUGACUACGUGCCAGCAGCCGCGGUAAU
Molecule: ribosomal RNA, 194 nt
Filed under: Firmicutes bacterium T5
Lineage: Bacteria; Bacillati; Bacillota
Description: partial 16S ribosomal RNA
Rfam family: Bacterial small subunit ribosomal RNA
Source: RNAcentral